UACCCGAAUGGGGAAACCCAGUGUGACUCGUCACACUAUCAUUAACUGAAUCCAUAGGUUAAUGAGGCGAACCGGGGGAACUGAAACAUCUAAGUACCCCGAGGAAAAGAAAUCAACCGAGAUUCCCCCAGUAGCGGCGAGCGAACGGGGAGGAGCCCAGAGCCUGAAUCAGCAUGUGUGUUAGUGGAAGCGUCUGGAAAGGCGCGCGAUACAGGGUGACAGCCCCGUACACAAAAGCGCAUGUGCUGUGAGCUCGAUGAGUAGGGCGGGACACGUGGUAUCCUGUCUGAAUAUGGGGGGACCAUCCUCCAAGGCUAAAUACUCCUGACUGACCGAUAGUGAACCAGUACCGUGAGGGAAAGGCGAAAAGAACCCCGGCGAGGGGAGUGAAAAAGAACCUGAAACCGUGU
Molecule: ribosomal RNA, 410 nt
Filed under: Salmonella enterica
Lineage: Bacteria; Pseudomonadati; Pseudomonadota; Gammaproteobacteria; Enterobacterales; Enterobacteriaceae
Also listed under: 1 other name
Description: partial 23S ribosomal RNA
Rfam family: Bacterial large subunit ribosomal RNA
Source: RNAcentral